Molecule: long non-coding RNA, 925 nt
Organism: Symphalangus syndactylus (siamang)
Lineage: Eukaryota; Metazoa; Chordata; Mammalia; Primates; Hylobatidae
Source: RefSeq, a predicted model, not a curated record
AGACUCGGGGCCUCACGCGCUUGCGCGCCGCCCGCUGCCCGCCGCGGCUGGGAGUCCGGAGCUUUCGUCUUGUGGUGGUUUCGGUUCGGCUCUCAAAUGGAGGUGGCUACGUUGAAGACAGCUGGGGCUGCCGCACGCCUCGGGGUUACUGUCGGGCACCCGGCGGGCGGGGCCGGCUCUGGGGCGGGGGAGGGCUUCCUCGCCCUCAGAAACCACAUUCGCAGAAACGCUUUUAACUGGCAAGGUUUCGAGUUCCCAACCACAGCACCCUCAGUGAUGGUUUUCAGAAGACCUUGUUAGCUCCUCUGCUCCAGAGACCCAUCCUUCGCUGACAUCCCACCGAUUUGGGAGCAGGAAAAAACAGACGCCUGCAAAAUACCUCCUCUUCCAGUGCCCUAUACCCCUCUCUGCUUACUUCGGGUCCCUGCAGUCCAGCAAUAACCCCAAACGAGUGAAGGGAGGAGACAUCGGUUUGUCUAGGCUCUGCCACCGACGGGUGAUUUGGGAUAAGUCCUUCUCCAGUAUCAUUAUCUUCAACUGUAAAACAUGAGGGUUAGUCCGAAUGAUCUCCAAACCCUUCAGCAUUAAAGAUACAGUGAGAAGGUACUAUCUAUGAAUCAGAAAGUGGGCCCUCAUCUGAGCAUGACCAUGCUGGCACCAUAAUCUUGGACUUCUCAGCCUCCAGAACUUUCAACUUGGAGCACCUGCUACAUGCCCCACGCUGUGACAGACUCUCAGGGGACACCAAGGGAAAUAAGGCCCAGCUCCUGCUUCAAAGAGCUGACCAUCAACUGGCGGGGAUUAGACAAUGAGAGAAGUCCAAGCUAAAGAAAGUGCCGCAGGAGAAACAUGAGGUGCUUGAGGUUUCAAUGGAGGGAAAGGAUAUAUCAGGUUGGAGAUACUAACAAAAGACUUUAUUCAUUCA